RNAcentral lists this unclassified non-coding RNA (485 nucleotides) under plant metagenome. RNAcentral describes it as "partial contains 5.8S ribosomal RNA, internal transcribed spacer 2, and large subunit ribosomal RNA". The record is from RNAcentral.
GAUGUAGAACAGGCGAGUCGUGAGAGAAGAAAUCUCGGCCAACAGGCGGGGUUUAUUUGCAAUUAAGGCACCGUGAUGACCGACCGCGACGACAUACUUGCGGCAUUGGCGUGGGGCGGGCUAGUGGUGGUAGCUCUCCUUCCCAUCGUCUCGGUUUUGAUCGACACUUUUGCCGCAGACCCAAUUGGUUUCCGAAUGCGGCUCGGAUGGGGUGUUGUUGUGGCGUCGAAUGCCAGCGUUGUCGUCAUCGGAGUUGCACUGCUCGCCCGCAGAAUUCGACGGCGGAAGGGUGGGGUAGAUUAGCCGUCUUCAGCAUUGGGCCGUCCCAUUCUCCUGAGAAGCAUAAUGCGCCGUUUAAUUGGUCGAAAAAUGGGCGCUGGAAUCAAUGGGCGCAGUUCCAACGGAAGGUUCGCCAACGGUCACGCCGGAGGGCCAGGCAGACCACGGCGGGAAACCGAGCGCCUCUAUCUUCAGGCAUUGACGGA